UCAGGAGUCGUCUAGUGGCAGGACAGCGGCCUUUGACACCGCGAACGCGAGGUUCGAAUCCUCCCUCCUGAUCCA
This 75-nucleotide transfer RNA is filed under the name Terriglobia bacterium. RNAcentral's name for it is "tRNA-Gln". It matches the Rfam family "tRNA". From Rfam's summary of the family: Transfer RNA (tRNA) molecules are approximately 80 nucleotides in length. Their secondary structure includes four short double-helical elements and three loops (D, anti-codon, and T loops). Lineage: Bacteria; Pseudomonadati; Acidobacteriota; Terriglobia. The record is from RNAcentral.